RNAcentral lists this non-coding RNA (45 nucleotides) under Schistosoma mansoni. RNAcentral also lists the same sequence under 1 other name. Lineage: Eukaryota; Metazoa; Platyhelminthes; Trematoda; Strigeidida; Schistosomatidae. The record is from RNAcentral.
AUCCAACAUACGAGUCCCAAAUAGGACGAAACGCGCGUCCUGAAU